AGGACGAACGCUGGCGGCGUGCUUAACACAUGCAAGUGGAGCGACGAACCAGGCUUCGGCCUGGGGCAGAGCCGCGAACGGGUGAGUAACACGUGGGUAACCUGCCUCGAUGACCGGGACAACCCGGGGAAACCCGGGCUAAUACCGGAUGUGCUCCUUCACAUCAGUGAAGACAGGAAAGGAAGCUUCGGCCUCCGCAUCGAGAUGGGCCCGCGGCCCAUUAGCUUGUUGGUGAGGUAACGGCUCACCAAGGCUGCGAUGGGUAGCUGGUCUGAGAGGACGAUCAGCCACACUGGGACUGAGACACGGCCCAGACUCCUACGGGAGGCAGCAGUGGGGAAUCUUGGACAAUGGGGGCAACCCUGAUCCAGCCAUGCCGCGUGAGCGAUGAAGGCCUUAGGGUUGUAAAGCUCUUUCAGCGGGGAAGAUAAUGACGGUACCCGCAGAAGAAGCCCCGGCUAACUCCGUGCCAGCAGCCGC
Molecule: ribosomal RNA, 480 nt
Filed under: uncultured bacterium
Lineage: Bacteria
Description: SSU rRNA
Rfam family: Bacterial small subunit ribosomal RNA
Source: RNAcentral